UUGCUUAGUGUGUUUAAUAAAUAAAUAAAGUGGCUAUGCUAAUCUGAAUCUUAAUAAUAAAACUCAAGCAUGGAUAUGAUGAAUAGUUGCUCUGCCUAAUCUUUAAAUUUGAAAUUCUUUCUCAAGUUUAGACAUAACCGUUAUAAUUUAAAACUUGCUCUAAAUUUGAACUUGUGGGAUGAAAACUUGAUCUGAAGUCUAAGUUGUUAACGGAUAUGAUAUGGGAAGGUUGAGCUGCUGUUUAUUUGUUCUUAGAGAUGCUAGAAUUCUGGAGAAUUUUAUCUUUGAAAAUCUUUAAAAUAUUACAUGAUGAGUUCCUGUAUGAUGAGAGUUUAAAUUCCUAUCACAGCCAUAUAUACAUGCUUGCUAGACUUUGAGCCGCAUAUUUACUAUUUACUGCUUAUGAGCAUUGAGUGUGGUCAAGCUGUGUAGACCCUUAGGAGCUUGUCAUGUGGUUAAAUCGAGAUUCACUUGCACGUUCACUCACAUAUGCUGCUUCUACUCCGGAAGUACCAUCCACAUAUAUCCAUUCAUUUCCAUUUCCAGAAUCACCUAAAAAUAUUUUACUUCUGAUCCAGGAGAGAAUAGCCAAAAACAUUUUUGUUUUUCCCCUGUGAAAUAAAUGCUCGAGUUAUCUUGUUACUACCACUUGCUAUAUUAUCUCAAGAGAUGAGUGCUCUAAAAAAAAGAAAAAAAGAAAAAAGUAUACGAGGAAGUAAAAAGGGGCAAGUGCCCGGAACCUCGAAAGAAAAGAAAAAGUGAGACGAGAGGUAAAAAUGGACAAGUGUCCGAUAGUAGAAUUAGGGGUACAAGAUACCCACCUGAGAGAAAAGAAAAAGAAGAGCAUCUCAUUCUCCUCAUAAAGUUUCAAAAAGCAAGGAAGGUAUGUAUUCCCUCAAAAGAGCAAAAGUAGAAUUAGACUUUCACCAUUGUUAUCACCAUCAUCACUGUUGACGGUCCUUAAGUAUCAAAUUUAAUUAUCAAAUAAACAAAGAAAAGGAUCCAAAUGAAAUCAACAUCUAGACUUAGGGUUUUAUCUGACAGAAUUCCAUGAGUUUUGGUGUUUGUCUAUUUCUGCAGGGGGUUAUCAGGAAAUACGGAAGAAAGGCCCACACGUCGGGAUUACAUAGAGAUAUUAACAAGCCGCGCUAUUAUUUACAUCUAGAAGACUCCAGAAGCCAUGAGACCGAAGCGGAGGCAAAACGUGGCCAGAGGCAGGGCGCCCGCCCUGUUCCCCUAGGCGCCUGCCCUCUCUUAGAGUCCAAUCAGGACUCUGUUUCUCGGGAGAUCUCCACCGACCUAAAGGAUCAAGGAUAACCGUCCAAUCUAUGUCGGUUUGAUCCAACGGCCCAUAUUCACUUGAAGGGACUAAAAAACCAGACCCCCUGGUCCCUGGAGGAGAGAGCCUCUCAACCCUAAUUCAUUAUUCCUCAAGGGAGAAGAAGCCUCUGAUCAAGAUUAGAGCCACCACAUCAGUUAGACAUCUAGAUUAGCAUAGCUACAUAGGAUUAGAACUAGAAGGAGUCAAUCUUCGAUUGGUUUCCGGAUCUAUCAAGAGGAUUCUUAGUAAUUCUCUAAUUGUGCUUCUAAUUAUUCUUAUAAUUAUCUUUGUUCUUCAAUAUUAUGAAUAUGAGUUUGUUCUACUUCAAUAUAUUGCUUAUGACUUUGCUCAACUUGCUUAUAUUCAAGAUUUUAUUGUUCUUAGUUUAUCAUAGUUAUGUACUUGGCUUAGUUAGAUUGGAUCUAUAUACAUGCUUAGGAUCGUAUAGCGUUUAUCCAUCGGAUCCAUGGGUAAAUGAUAGAUAUUAUGUAGGCGUGGUGCUUAUACCGUAUUUAUCUGCUAUUGUAUCCAAUAUGCCAGAUCGUGGGGUAGUUCAUGAUAGUGACAGCUUCAUUGAAAUUCGUGUAUUGGGCUGGCAGAGCAACAUUAUUACAGGGGAGUGAUUGCUAUGUUUCUCAUUUACCUUGCUAAUAUCAGUAUGCAUGGGCGUAGUCUUGUCUUGCAAUGAUUGCUAAGUAUGUUUGCACUAAUUAUGAUAAUGCUAGACUAUAUAGUUGAGAAUAACUUAGGGAAUAUUCUUGUAGUUCGUUCUAAUACCAUGCUAAUGACUUUCUAGAGUAACUAAUUGAGGUGCUUAUAAUAUUUAUAUGUGGCUGAUCAGAUUAAUUAUCUUUGUCAAUAUUCAUUAUUUCAUAUAUCUUUUAUGUGACACUUAUCCCUGUAUGAAAGAGUUAGAUAAUUGUUCUCAAUUAUACAUGCAAUGAUAGAUACUCAAUCUCAUAUUCUAUUCUGUAAUCAAUAUUGAUGAUUGCUAAUCCCUUCCGAGUUGUAAAAAUAUAAAUAACAAUACCUGUAAUACUUUCCGGUUAAAAUGCUACAUCGGUAUUAAUCUGUGCGCUUGCAAAUCCCAUUCAUUAUUUAUUUAGAAGAGCAAUUGCAUAUUUCAAUACCGCGUCUCUCAUGUCAUGCUGGGGAUGACAACUUGGCUUAAGUGGUGUGAGGGAUAGGUUUGGCAUUUUUGGCACCGUUACUAGAAUUAGAAAACUAAGUCUACUUUUGGUAAUGAUGUUAAGAAUACCCAACAAGCAUUUUUGGCGUUGUUGCCGUGGAAGGUUGAUUACUAAUCAGAAAUGGAAUAAAAGAUUUUGAGUUAUCAUUCGCAUCACUAAUAUGAUUGAGCUUAUCUAUUCUCUCAUACAGUUUUACCCCGAUAUUUUUCCAUUUUUAUCUUAUGCAGGGGAAUGUAUGAAUAGAAGACAUCUUCUAGGAAAUUUUGUUGACAAUCCUGAAGCAUUAUUCAAGAAGACAAGAGCCACGCUCAAGAAGAGAUCAUCAACACUUCAGCAAGAAGCUUCAUCCAAUCAAGAAGAUCACCAGAACUUAUCUUCAGAGUUCGAAGCCAUGGCGAACAAAUCAAUUCGCGAGUUCUCAGCUCCCACUACGGACAUCAUCCGCACUGGACCUGCUGCAGAAAUCGAUGGCAACUUUGAGCUCAAGCCUGGACUUAUCAACAUGGUGCAAUCUAACCAGUUCUGUGGGAAGGCACAUGAAGAUGCUAGUGCUCAUCUACAACACUUCCUGGAGAUUUGCAACACAUUUACCAUAUCAGGAGUCCCCGGAGAUGCUAUACUACUUCGCCUCUUCCCAUUCAAACUGUUAAAAAGAGCGAAGCAGUGGUUCUAUGCUACAAAGGAGAAGAAUACUACGUGGGCACUCUGCUCAACAAACUUCCUGGCUAAGUUCUUUCCCAUGGGCAAGACCAAUGCUCUCCGUGGGAAGAUUACAAAUUUUCAGCAACAAAAUGAUGAAUCUGUAAGCAUGGGAGCGCUUUCAAGAUUACAUCCUAGAAUGUCCCCAUCAUGGAAUGGAGAGCUGGCUAUUGAUGCAGACGUUUUAUCAUGAGCUCGGCAACAGUGCCCGAGAAACCAUGGAUGUUGUAGCUGGAGGAGCAUUCUUAUCACUUACUAUACCACAAGCCACAGCUCUUGUGGAGAAGAUGGCGUCCAAUCAAAGCUGGAAUGAAGAGAGGACCCAUACACGCAAGAAAGGUAGAGGUAUGCAUCAGCUCAAGGAGGUAGACAUGUUGUCUGCAAAGCUAGACCUGCUCAUGAAGAAGCUCGAUGAUAAAGCUGGAGAUAAGAAGGAAGUUAUGCACAUCUACGACUCUCACAUGACUUGUGAGGAGUGUGGAGACACUGGACACUCAGGCAACCACUGUCCUGAGAUACUUGAGGAUGUGAACUACAUCAACAACAACAACAACUACUACUACAACCGUCCUCAAUAAAUUCAAGGUUGGAAUCAACAGAGGCCUAACUACUUAGGUAAUUAUCAAGGUAACAAUUCUUACAACAAUAAUAAUAAUUUUUUUCGACCUUUGAGAGAGUUAGUGUCUAAUCAAGGAAAGCUAAUGGAUAGACUAUCUAAGAAAUUGGCAUCUAAUGAUAAAAUGCUAGAAAAUAUAAAUAAUAGAAUGGAUAAUUUGUCUACUGCCAUCAAGAAUCAAAUUAGCUUUAAUAAAAUGAUUGAUUCUCAGUUAAAUCAAAUAGCUGCUAAUAUUCCUACUACUAACCCCGGUAUACCAUCACAACCGGAAGAAUUAGAAUCUGCAAAUCUUGUAGACAUGUUUGAUGCAGGUAAUAAUUGGAGUAACCCCGUCACUGAAUUCACUACUGACCUUCUGCCGGUCAAGAGAGGCGAUCCAGGACGCCCCGUCAUCCCGAUCUCCAUUGGCAUGGUGGAUGUCCCAGAAGCACUCUGCGACUUUGGCUCCAGUGUCAACAUUAUACCCAGGGUACUCUAUGAAAAAUUCUUUACAUAUCCUUUAUUAGAGACAACCAUGUGUUUACAGUUUGCAGAUCACGCGAUAAGUUUUCCAAAAGGAAUAUUGAAGAACCUUUGUGUCCGAGUUGGUACCUUAUAUGCCCCAGCAGACUUCGUAGUGGUAGAGACCGGUAAUGAUGAAAGAGUGUUGACGGUCCUUAAGUACUAAAAUUAAUAAUCAAAUAAACAUGAAAAAGGAUCAAUAUAAAACAAACAUCUAGAAUUAGGGUUUUAUCUGACAGAAUUCCACGAGUUUUGGUGUUUAUCUAUUUCUGCAGGGGUUUAUCAGAGAAUAUGGAGAGAAGGCCCACAUGUCAUGUUUACAACGAGAUAAUUACGUGUCGUGCAAUUUUCCUCCAUCUAGAAGGAUCCAGAAGCCACGGGAACGAACGGGAGGCGAUUCGGGCUCGGGGGCAGGGCGCCCGCCCACCCCCCUUGGGCGCCCGCCCAGGGUUGGAGGCCAAACAGGACUCUGCUUCGGGACAACGCUCCAGUGACCUAAAGGAUCAAUCUAAACCAUACAAUCUAUGUCGGUUUGAUCCAAUGGCUCACGUUCACUUGAGGGGACUAUACAACCAGACCCCCUGUCCCCUGGAGGAGAGAGAAGAAAUCAUUAUUCAGAGGUAGCCAUCAAAGUUAGGGUUUAGAGCUUCUCUCCCACAGAGAAUUAGAAUUAGCUACUCCCUAAUCCUUCAAGUUUAGAGGUUGAUUAGAUAGCAAUUAGAGAAGUAGAGCACUACGCUCUGGAUUCGGAUCUUCGGUAAUAAAGAUUGGUAUUAUUCAUAUCUUUCUCUAAUUCUAUUGUUCUAAUUGCAUUAUGUCUCUAAUUAUUAUGCUCUUAGUUUGCUCUAGUUCUAUAUUUGAUAUAGUUCUAAUUGAUAAUGAGUUUAUGUAUAAGUUUGCAAAGCGCUUAGCUCUUGACGCGAGGGAGUUAGGUGAUAGAUCACAUGUGAGCGUGGUGCUUAGAUAUUAUUUAUCUGCAAAUGUAUCCUAUUGGCCGAGCCGUGUGGUAGUUCGCGAUAGUGACAGCUUUGUUGAUUCUUAUAUAGUCCACCCUCCGUUGAUAGGACAGGCAGAACCGGUAUUGUGGAGUAAGUCAUGCGAUGCUCUGAUUUACUUUAUCAAUGUUCCUUAUACAUGAAUGAAGAGUCUUUUAUGCUAUAUAUGAUCUUGUAGAUAACUAGAGUAGAUUAUGACUUAGUAGUUAGUAAAUAACUUAGAAUUCAUUCUCUAGCUAAUCCGACAUCACCUACAUAUAUGAGGAGUAGUCUAUUUUCUAAUCGUUGUGUCAUCUACCCAUGAACUUAUACUUUAUUAUCAUUAUCUUUAUGGUUUACCCCCUGCUAAAGUAAGUGACUGUGUGACGAGUUUCUCAUUAGUAAUCAUGUUCUUGCAAGUUUAUCUCUAGUCUAUGCCUUGUUAGAUUUUGCCCCCUUUUAUUUUAAUUUCAUUUCCUUAGAUCCCUUGAGCAAAAUUAUAAAUAACGAUACCUGGAAUACUUAUCCUGGUGAAAUGCUACAAUGAGGUGUUUUAUCUGUGCGCUUGCGGAUAGAAUAGAUUAUUUUCUAGACAGCCUUUACAUUUAUAAAUACCUUUGUACACUCUGGCGCCAUGCUAGGGAUGACAACCUAGUAUCUAAGUGGUGUUAGCUAGUGUCAACAAGUGUAACACCCUAAAAUUUAUUCCUUUUGAAAUAUAGAUAAAAUUAUUUAAUUUUGUAUUUUUGUGCUCAUGAAAAUAUAGGAAAAAUAAUAUUAAAUUAAAAUUUAUUAUAAGGCAUAGCAAUAUUAUUAUGCAUACAUGCUGGUGCAAAUGUUUUGAAGUGAUGCUUGUUGCUCCUUUAUGUGUUGAUAGUAAGAAAAAUAUUUAAAAUAUCGAUCUUCCUUAUUUGGCACGUAUUUAUCUUUUAUCUACAACCAAAUUCCUUGUUUCUAAGCUCAAAUUUUGAUUAGGACCUUCCUAAAAUCUUUUCUUUGUCACUCAAAGCACUUCUUUUAGUUCCUCGUCCAUCAAGCAAUCUCUACAAACUUUUCGGGAAUUUUUCCAUCUUCUAUUCUCACUUUUCUAUGAGCAUAAAUCUAAUUUUUAGAUGUCCCAAAUUAUCUUAUCAUGAGAUCCAAAUACGUUAUUUGAGUUCCUCAUAUUCCAUAAUGUCUCUGAGAAUUUUUUCCGAAUUUUCGGAGCUUUCGGAGUAUUUUUCGUGGCUAAACUACUAAUUCUAAACUUUUCUAGAAUUAUUUUAUCAAUGAAAAUAAUUAAUUCGAAAUUAAUAAAUCUCUUAUUAUUUUUCCAACGUCAAAGCCCAUAAUAAAUCCCAAAAACCAUAUAGUUAUUUACUAAUGGGCUUUAAUAAUUAAUUAGGCCUAUUAGUAAAGAUGAAUGUUGCAAAUCAAUUAGUACCAUAUCGCUAGUUGACGUGGAGGUGUGGAGUUUCUCUACAUAUAUAUAUGUACCAACCCCUUAGGCAAAGCACACCAAAAAAAAACUACCAGAUGAGAAGUCUCUAGUUUGGAAAUUUCUAAGGUAGUAAAAUUAUAUUUUCUCCUCCUCUCUAUAUCGCCAAUGGCCAAUCCCGAUGACUACUCAAGCGAUCGUUUUGCAGCUCUGAAGUUUACCUUGCCUGCCUCCGUCCGUCUCCAGCCAGGUCAUGCAGAAGUCGGAUCUUGAUCUUGGCUAGCACUAGGAUGCCUCUAUAUCUACUGAAUCUAGUCUUCCGUACAUGCUAUUCGUCAAUGCUCGAUCUCCGUUACCGUGAAUCUGCAACCUACUGAAAAUCCUAUGAAGGUACAUGUCCUAGGUACCAGACCUGAAUUUUGCUCUCUAACUUGCCCAGAUUGUCUUCUAGUCAUCACGUGCCUUUGAUUAACCUUUUCUCAACAGAAAAACUAGCUGCAUCUAUGCGUGACCUUACUGAUGAGCUGCUGGACUGCUCCCAAAACUCCAGAACCCGCCGUCAACUUCCUGGUGUCGAGAGCCAUCUAAUGCUUGGGACAAAAUCUGCCAUGGUCAUCAUUCGUUAUACACUAAGGUUUCUAUUGUUUCAUUAUCUUCGAUCCAUUCAAGUAACGUUGAUAGUGACAUAAUUUAUGUGUUAAUUAGAGUUAAUCGUGUGGUACGUUAGUAAAUUUUAUAAAUAACAUAUUUAUUUUAAUUAAUUUCUGUGCAAUUGGCUUUCGAAUUAUAAGAAUAUAAGCUUAACGUCUGUCUUCUACAUGUCAAAUGUUAUUUUGAUAAAAGGCAAUAUUAAUAUAUUUUAAAUUUGUAAUCCAGCCGACUGAGUUCAAAAUAUGUUUUCUGAUAUUUACAAAUUUGCCACUGAAACUGUUUUAGCCAUAAAAUCUUCGUUCUAAUUCCGUUUUGACCCAUUCAAAUUGUGUUAGGUUCAUAAUCAUGAGAUCUACAUGUUAGUAAAAUUAUUUUACUCAGUUGGAAACUUUUAAAUUUCGUGACUUUAAUUAAUUAAUUACUUUUCUAUAUAAAAUCAUAGAAAAUUCAUAUCUCCUUCGUUUUAAAUCCGAUUUUCGUGAUCUUUACGUCUGUGAGAUCGUAGCGAUGCGUAGAAUCAUUUUAUAAACUUUUUAUACUGUUUUUAUAUGAUUGGUGUACUGUUCUAAUUGUAGCUUUGUUUGCUCGUGUAUGCUUUCUUCGAUUGUUUGUGUGAUCGAUGAUCGAGUUUAGACGGAGAGCAGUUUUGGUGAUCAAGAUCAAAGCUUUGGCAACAAGUAAGACCAACAGAACCUAAAUGAUAAGCAAGAGCAUUUGGAUCAAGGCAAGUAUAGCAUUUGGAUUUUAUUUCUGUGACCAUGAUCGUGUGACUAGAUUAAUGUUAAGUAAUAAAUGAUAAAAAUGACUUUUUAGCCACUUGAUGAUUUAUCUGUAAGUGAUAACCGGGACAACAGUGCAACCAUGAGGGCUAUAAUGGCUCUGGCUUUAGCUCAGUAUGAAGACCUUUUCUAGCUUGUUAGAGGUUACCCGAAAGGGCGGAGGGGCUGAACCGUUUUGGGUAUAGUGUGGCCUCUGUCUGUAUGUGUAUAGGCUGCGAGUCAUUGUGCCAUCGGAAGGGGGGCUCUAUAUCUGCGCGCAAAGGAAACCUUGCGGCCCUAACAUGUUAGACGAACUUUUGAAAGGCUUCAUAGUGAUCCCUGCCGACCUUCCUUGGAAGUGGGUUAAGAGGCUGAUCACCUCGGGCGAAAGGGUAAAUCAUGACUCAUGGGUAAAGAUGUGCAACCUCUGCAGAGUGUUAAAACUAGUAUACUAGCCGUGCUCACGGUCAUGAGCGGCCUUGGGGAUUCUUGCAUCGACGAUGAUGAUUCUUGUGUGUUUUAUAUGUUCAUUAUUUAUUAUUUAAUGCUCUACAUUAUUUAUGUCACAUUGAUCAUGGGAUUGUGGGAUCUAUACAAUCUAGUUGCUAUACUUGUGGAGUUCGACAUGGACUCAUUCUUGCUAUUUCCCCAAACCUCAGGAGAAGUUUAGGCUUGUGAUCAACCAGUCAGUUGGAUCCUGUAGAGAGAAGUUAAUACCCGGAGUUUGGAGUUGUCUAUCCGUUGUUUGCUAUCAAAGGUUAUCUCUUUUAUAUUAUGUACGUUAUAUAACUUUUGCAUUGUCUUUUGAUAUUACCCCUUAUUUGUAGCUAUAUGUGAGAUUUGGCUUCUAAGACUCACAUAUGGUGCAUAUCUGGUUUUGUUCUUAAAAUCGGGUAUUACAACAAGCAUUUCUGGCGCCGUUGCCGGGGAAUCUUAUAGGAAUUAUACGAAUCUCAGGAAUAAGUCAUAAAAAGGAACAAAAGGGUAAUAUUAAGGAAAGCCAGAAAAUCAAUCAAGGUUAUUCAUAUAAAAUAUUAGACUAGACUAUAGAGAAAUAAUUGCAUAAAACAGCUACUAAGUGAGAAAUCAUAACAAGGCACCUCUGCUUUGGCAGGUUCACCCUGUUGUUUUUCUAUGUUUAUAUUUAUACAGGGUAUGACAGGAUUGACUUUGGGUACAUUCAACUCUUCAUCAUCAGAACCUUGCAAGAAGAAGAAGCUAGCUACCAAUUGCUGAAGCUAUGACACAAAAGACCUUGCAAGAAUUCUCUGCUCCAAGUCUUGAGAACAUUCCAACUGGUCCAAGAUUUGCAGUAGAAGAAGGAAUACCUGAGUUUGAGCUCAAGUCAAGCCUCAUCAAUUUGGUACAAGCUACACAAUUCAGUGGAAAGGCACAUGAAGAUGCCAGUGCACACUUGCAGAAUUUCUUAGAGAUUGGAAGCACAAUCCACAUCAAUGGAGUUGACAAAGACGUCAUACUGCUUCGCCUUUUUCCAUUCUCACUAGAAGGAAAAGCAAGGAAGUGGUUCUACACUCAUCAAGAUAACAUCAACAACUGGACGAACUUGUCAGAUGCCUUUCUAUCAAAGUUUUUCCCUAUAGGCAAAACAACUGCCUUAAGAGGAAAUAUUGUCAGUUUCCAACAGCAGAAGACAGAAGCCAUUUCAGAAGCAUGGGAGCGUUUUCAAGGAUACAUAUCAGAUUGUCCUCACCAUGGAAUGGCCACAUGGUUACUUAUGCAGACCUUCUACCAUGGAUUAACCCAGAAGGCUCGUGAGUGCCUAGAUGCAUCUGCUAACGGAUCAUUCUUGGAGCUUACAACUGGAAAAGCAGAGAUACUUUUAGAUAAGAUAGCAGAAAACCAAAGCUGGUUCCAAGAUAAAGCUCAACAAUGUCAUCAAACUGAAGAAAUACCAGAAGAAGUAAAUGCAUUAUCAACUAAGAUGGAAAAUUUGCUCCAUUGGAUUGACCAGAGGGCCAAGUUCAAAGAAGAUCAAAGGGCCAUUGAGACAGCAUAUAAAUAUCAACCAACUUCAAGUCAACCCAAUAGCAAAGGUAUGAAUUCAGGUAAUACUGUCAAGCAACUUUCAUUAAAAGAGAUAAUUGUUCAACAAACCAAAUUAAUGAUGAAGUUAAACAAAGGCUAGAUACAAAUGAAUCAUCUCUAAAAGAUAUACACAAUAAAAUGGAUUUUCUACUAACUGCCUUUGAUGAGCAAAACACUCUUAAUAAAAGGGUAGAGCUUAAAUUAAUAAAGUUAGCUGCUGCACUGCCUGUUGCUACUAACCUUGAGCAGGUAAAGAAUAUAACUACUAGAGGAGGUAAAGCCACCAGAGAUCCACCAUAUCCAAAAGAGAAACAAAGAACAUCAGCACCAGUGCAACCAGCAGUAAUAGAAGAAGAAAGCCCAGUUGAAGCAGAAGAUCUGCUACAACCACCAAGAACUGGAGAAAUGAGGAAAGAUUUUUACGACACCAACUAUUUGCCAUUUCCCAGAAGAAACAGAGGACUGCAGUCGGAUGAGCAGUUUGGUAAGUUUGUAGAGGUCAUUCAGAAAUUAUAUGUCAACAUACCUCUACUUGAUGCCAUACAAGUACCUACAUAUGCAAAGUACAUCAGAGAUAUUCUUAACAAGAAGAGGCCACUGCCCACCACUGAGGUUAUCAAGCUGACAGAAGAAUGUAGCGCGGCCAUCCUCAACAAACCACUAAAGAAAAAGGAAGAUCCAGGAUGCCCCACUAUUGAUUGCUCGAUCGGAAACCAACACUUCAACAAUGCACUUUGUGAUCUAGGAGCAAGUGUCAGUGUGAUGCCAGCAUCAGUCUACAAAAAGCUUGAGCAUGCAACCUUAGAACCAACAUCAAUGUGCUUGCAACUAGCGGAUCAAUCGGUUCGACACCCGCUGGGCAUCGCCGAGAACAUUCUAGUCAAGAUCAGAGAUUUCUUGGUGCCAGUAGACUUCGUAGUACUGGACAUGAGUCCUGACUCGAAAGUGUCCAUCAUCCUUGGAAGGCCAUUUCUGAGCACUACCAAUGCCCACAUUGAUGUCGGGAAGGGAGAAACCAAGUUUAACAUAAACGGACAAGAAGAACACUUCACAUUCAAACCCAGACCAGAGAGAGACUCUACAGUGAAGGAAGUUCAUGAAGAACCACUGGAGACACCAUCUCUGGAGGAAGGAAACUCAGAAGAUUAAAAGAUUUGGAGGUCCAGCUUGGGGGACCUAAAAAUCCCAAACCCUCACCGGGAGGUAAAUCGGUAUUUACCCACAUUAUUAAUUUUCUCAUAUUUAAAUUCUUGCAUAAUUAAUUCUUGCAUUAGUCAUAUACAUUCAUAGCAUAAUUAUAAUAAUCAAAAAGCCCCAUAUAAAUAAUAUUCGUGGUGUGUAACAACCCAUUUUUAUUAAUUAUUGUGGAGGCACAAAAAUAUUUCCCAUUAUCAUUUUAAUUAAGUUUCAAUUCUCAUAGAUUUUUCCUGCAUUAUAUUUAUUUAUAUUGAUCUUCUAGAAGCAUGACCCACACUCUUUGGGUCCCACAUGUCAUACACUUCACCUCACAUACAUCCCAUCACAUAAUUUCAUCCACCAAUAUGUUUCCACUCACUUGACAUCUUUCCACCGUCCAACCACCACAACACAAUAUUAUUCUGCGUGAGAUCAAAGCAAGGAAGCAUGUGGAGGAGGCACACCCAGGAUGGACACCAGGGGUGGGCGCCCGUCCACCUACCUUGGGCGCCCGCCCUGUCCCCUGCUCAGCCUAUAAAAGGCCACCUCCAGCUCCCCUUCUCUUCACACAAACACUCCAGAAAACCACACAAAUCUCAGUUUCCCGAGAAGGAGCUUUUGUAGUGAAGAGAAGAGAGUAGAGAGAAAGAGGAGAGUGGAAGGGAAGGUUGGGAGUUCUUUUGAGAGAGUGUUUGUCACCUAGCAAGUAGUGAUCCCGUUGUCUAAGCGGAAGUAAAAGUUGUUUAGGGGGAGGCUCUACCAAAAUAGAAAUUUGUCUUGAACGAUUAACCCCUGGACUACUGACACUCCGGACAGCUGACUACUAACAUUUUAUCUCACAUUUUCCACCAGUUGUGUUUUUGCCAACUUUUGUUUGCAGGAUGUUUAAGAAGGUGAAGAAUGCAGGGAAGGCUCUCAAGAGCCUUGGUACAAGGAGUUCAUCCCGACACUCCUCACAGCCAUCAGAGAUGAGCGUCGACCCGACACCCACACAAGCUCCGUCAUCUUCAUCAGGUCAGCAAAUUAAGGUCCUUCUCAAGAUAGGAGACCUUGGACUAAAGACCCGAAGAGAGAAGGAAGUCUAUCAGCAAUUGAAGAACAAAGAUUUCAUUCAUACCCCUACUCUCGAUCCAACCCUACUACAAGAAACAGGUAUGGACACUGAAUUCGAUUUAAUUUUUCAGAUGAUGGGUUGGACAAAUUUUUGGAAUAUAACUGAGCUGGGUUCUCGUCUUCUCACCCUCGAAUUUCUUUGCACCUUACAAUACUAUGAGGGGGGAAUUGUUUUUCGGAUGUUUAAACAGGAAAUUAUGUUAUCUUGGAGAGAGCUGAGCGACCAUCUUGGUUUCUCUUCAAGAUGCAUCCUAAACAUUGACUCCGAUUUACCCAAUUUUGAAAGACACCAGUUUUGGAGAGAAAUAUCUAGAGAUAAUUUUUACAGUCAAGCCCGAACCAGUGACAUGGAACACCCCACUCUUAGGAUGUUUCACAAAUGGCUUGGGUACAAUCUUUUCUAUCGUGAUGAUAUUAGGAAAGUAAGAGUAGGAGAUUUACAACUUUUAUAUGAUGCUAUUAGUAAAGUACCCACUUCACCUGUUACAUUAUUAGUUUCACAUUGGCUUAGUAUACCUAGUCUUCAGGGACCAGUAGGGUGUACUUCACUUAUCACUCGUCUAGCCACUAAUCUUCACUUACUAGAAAACUCAUCGUUGGACUUCAUAGAAGAAUUAAGAAUUUAUCAUGGCUAUGACACAUUUAGACAAGCUCGGAUGUUAAAGAAAGAGGAGAAUAUAAUGUAUAUGCUAUAUGAUGAUAAAGGCAAGAUUCGGUUACCUAACCCGAACCUUGGCCUCUACGUUGUUCAAAACUUUUUGAUUGAGAUUGCAGCAACACCAGUGAACCAGAGAACUCCACAGCGAGUGGCAUCUGAAAGGAUAACCACCCACCGAGAACGCACUUGGUAUGGAGCUGACCCUAGACCAGAAGAAGCAGCACACCUGCAUUAUUGCGAUUACAAUCCUCGAGUCCUUCGAGACCCAUGGGCUCGUCAUGCGCAACCACAAGAGCCAACAGAGGAGACAUGGCCGGAGAGCCAAGAUCACCAGUGGACAAACCCGCCUUUUCAUACGGGCAGGUACUCCACUGAUCCAUAUGGAGCUUCAGGAUCCAGACCUCCACCCCAAUUUGAUGUAGGACGAUACUCCGACGCCUCCUACGCCUUCACGAAUGACUACUAUCAAGAGGCCGGUGCUUUCUUCACUCGUACCGACAACACCCUCCUCGACAUCCAGAACACGCAAGCAGAACAUGGAAGACUCCUGGAAGAACAACAAAAAUGGAACCAGGACCAUGCCGCUGCAGUAGAAGAGCUGAGACAAGAUACAACAACAAUGAACGACAACAUCACAACCAUGAUGCGGUUCUGGAACAUCGGGUAAGACCGACGGCAACAUCCAGCUUGGGGGAGUUCCUCCCUAAAUUUAUCAAGUAAGUUUUUAUUUGCUCUUCUUAUUUAUUCUAUUCUGUCUUAGUAUUUAAUUUAUCUUAAAAGGAAAAACUUAGAAAACCGAAUAAAUAUUUUCUUGCUUUAAUUUACUGCACUUUAUAAACAUGAAAACAAAAUAAAAAGAGUGUGUAGAUAAGUGUGCUUUAUUUUUCUGCUAAGUUUAAUCUCUAGAAGAAAAAUAAUAAUAAGACCAAAAAUAUGCAUGAUGGAAAUGAUGAACAGUUGCUCUGUUUGCUUACUUACAAGUACCUAGCUUUUAUAUUAGAGUUCUUCCAGGAAUUACUAAAACUAAAAUCACUAUCUAUGGGAAGCAUAAAACUAAAGUCUAGGUAAGAGAAAGGCAUGAUAUAAAGUUGAGCCACUGUUUAUCUUAUUCCUACUACACUAAGUUCUGGAGAUUUAUUUUGAAAACUUACAAAUCACAUGAUGAGUUCCUAGCAUAACAAACUACCUACCACAGCCAUACUUGCUAUAACAUCUUUUACUAUAUUUACAUUGAGUUUGAUUGAGCUGUGUGGACCCUUAGGAGCUUUUCAUGUGGUUAAAUUAAGAUAUUCACUUGCACACAUCUACCACAGCAUCCAUCAUCAUUCAUUAAAAUUGCUAAAAAUAUUAUUACUCACUGUCUCAAGUACUGUUAUUCUCACUCUCUAAAAAAGAUUCAAUGCAGAAAGAGGCAUGGGUUAUGCAAAAAUAUACGAGGAAAUAAAAAGGGGCAAGUGCCCGGAACCUCGGAAAAGAAAGAAAAAGAGUGAGACGAGAGGUAAAAAUGGACAAGUGUCCGGAGUAGAAUUAGGGGUACAAAGAUGCCCACUUGAGCGGAAAAAAUGGACAAGUGUCCGACAGUAGAAUUAGGGGUAUCUACUACCCACCUGAAAAAAAAAGAGAGAAAAAGAUAGCCCAUGUUCUCCCAAAGCAAAGAUCAAAGAAGAGAAGAGAUAGCAAUAUAAGGAGCAAUGAGAAGUAAGUUUUAUUAUCACUUAUGCAUUUUCUCCAUCACAAUCAUUUACUCCAUCACACAUGCACGUCUUGAUUUAAUAAUAUGCUGAGUUCCUUUGGAUCCAUGGCUCGAUUAGACAACAUAUGUAUGAGCUGUUUUUCACUCCUAUGAGCUCCACUUAAAUAUUCCAUUAGCUAUAGGUAAGUGAUAUCAUGGUAAGGAUCCACAAAUACCACAUAUAGAGAGACUUGAGAGAAUCAUUGCUGGGAACUCUGAGUUUUCUUUUGAAAAAUUAUGAAAAACUCUAGAACAAAGGUGAAGUAUAGACAAGAGGGAUAGUGCUUGACUUAACUAUUUUGUCUUUCGAUUACUUAAGACUUAAGUGCAGGUACUAAACUUCAUAACACUUCACUUUAAUCUGGAAGAAUUUUUAUGUAAAAGCAUGUGUGCUUGUCAGGAAAGAAAACAUCGAAGCAACUUCUGAUUCGUCUAAGUUUAGCUGUUUGCUCAGGGACGAGCAAAAGGGUAAGCUUGGGGGAGUUUGUUGACGGUCCUUAAGUACUAAAAUUAAUAAUCAAAUAAACAUGAAAAAGGAUCAAUAUAAAACAAACAUCUAGAAUUAGGGUUUUAUGUGACAGAAUUCCACGAGUUUUGGUGUUUAUCUAUUUCUACAGGGUUUAUCAGAGAAUAUGGAGAGAAUUCCCACAUGUCAUGUUUACAACGAGAUAAUUACGUGCCGCGCAAUUUUCCUCCAUCUAGAAGGAUCCAGAAGCCACGGAAACGAACGGGAGGCGAUUCGGGCUCGGGGGCCGGGCGCCCGCCCACCCCCCUUGGGCGCCCGCCCAGGGUUGGAGGCCAAACAGGACUCUGCUUCGGGACAACGCUCCACCGACCUAAAGGAUCAAUCUAAACCAUACAAUCUAUGUCGGUUUGAUGCAAUGGCUCACGUUCACUUGAGGGGACUAUAAAACCAGACCCCCUGGCCCCUGGAGGAGAGAGAAGAAAUCAUUAUUCAGAGGUAGCCAUCAAAGUUAGGGUUUAGAGCUUCUCUCCCGCAGAGAAUUAGAAUUAGCUACUCCCUAGUCCUUCAAGUUUAGAGGUUGAUUAGAUAGCAAUUAGAGAAGUAGAGCACUACGCUCUGGAUUCGGAUCUUCGGUAAUAAAGAUUGGUAUUAUUCAUAUCUUUCUCUAAUUCUAUUGUUCUAAUUGCAUUAUGUCUCUAAUUAUUAUGCUCUUAGUUUGCUCUAGUUCUAUAUUUGAUAUAGUUCUAAUUGAUAAUGAGUUUAUGUAUAAGUUUGCAAAGCGCUUAGCUCUUGACGCGAGGGAGUUAGGUGAUAGAUCACAUGUGAGCGUGGUGCUUAGAUGUUAUUUAUCUGCAAUUGUAUCCUAUUGGCCGAGUCGUGUGGUAGUUCGUGAUAGUGACAGCUUCGUUGAUUCUUAUAUAGUCCACCCUCCGUUGAUAGGACAGGCAGAACCGGUAUUGUGGAGUAAGUCAUGCGAUGCUCUGAUUUACUUUAUCAAUGUUCCUUAUACAUGAAUGAAGAGUCUUUUAUGCUAUAUAUGAUCUUGUAGAUAACUAGAGUAGAUUAUGACUUAGUAGUUAGUAGAUAACUUAGAAUCCAUUCUCUAGCUAAUCCGACAUCACCUACAUAUAUGAGUAGUCUAUUUUCUAAUCGCUUUGUCAUCUACCCAUGAACUUAUACUUUAUUAUCAUUAUCUUUAUGGUUUACCCCCAGCUAAAGUAAGUGACUGUGUGACGAGUUUCUCAUUAGUAAUCAUGUUCUUGCAAGUUUAUCUCUAGUCUAUGCCUUGAUAGAUUUUGCCCCCUUUUAUUUUAAUUUCAUUUCCUUAGAUCCCUUGAGCAAAAUUAUAAAUAACGAUACCUGGAAUACUUAUUCUGGUGAAAUGCUACAAUGAGGUGUUUUAUCUGUGCGCUUGCGGAUAGAAUAGAUUAUUUUCUAGAGAGCCUUUACAUUUAUAAAUACCUUUGUACACUCUGGCGCCAUGCUAGGGACGACAACCUAGUAUCUAAGUGAUGUUAGCUAGUGUCAACAAAGAGCACCCAUCAUUUUAGGGAGGCCAUUCUUAAACACCUCGGGAGCUGUCAUCUACGCUAGCGCUGCCAAGAUCAGUUUCUACAUCAAAGGGAGGAAGGAGAUGUUUUUCUUCAGGAAUAAGACUACACAAAUCCCUGAUCAAUCUAGACGUGAAUCAAGGAAGAGGACCAACAGGAGGAACAGGAACAAGCAAGUGUGGACCGAAUCAACUAAGAUGGUCACUGCAGUUCAUGAAGGCCAAGAUCACCAACUUAAGUCACCAUUUUUGACCAAGAAGGACGACCCAGGAAUGCCAAGCAUCUAUUGCUCCAUAAAUGGAUACAACAUCUACAAGACGUUUUGCAACACCGGAUCGGGCGUCAACGUAAUGGCCGCAGUCACCUAUCGGCUCUUGUUCGGUACCAUGCCCCUAAGACCAACAUACAUUCAGCUCCAGAUGGCAGAUCAGACAUUUCGAGAAGUUAAAGGAACAGUAACUGAUGUCCCAGUCAAAAUAGACGAUCAUUUUGUCUACACAGACUUUCAGGUUAUUGACAUGGGAGAGGAUGAAUACGAUCCACCCAUCAUCCUUGGAAGACCGUUCAUAUGCACUUCCCCUCAGAGAAGGUACGCCGUUAUUUUAUUGACCCUGACUAUAUCGUUGAAAAAUCUAAGCAGGUAAGAAAGUGACGCAACCGCAACCUGAGGAGGCAAAUCAUCAAGGAUGGAUGGGCAGACUACGAAUGAGAAGUUGUAAGAUCAGAAGACGUAGAGUUUAAACAGAAUUAUCCAGAGGAGACCGUAGCACCGAGUCAGGUAUGGAAAGAGAAGAUAAUUAUACAUGAAGAGGAGGCGCUGUCGGAAGUACCGACAACGCCACCCAACGAAUCCCAGGACAAUUGAGAAAAUGGAUAGUCCCGUUCAGAGGACUUAAAAACACCGAACGCCUUGCCAAGAGGUAAACUUGGUAGUUAUCCUUUCCCUUUCAAUUAUUUAAACUAGUUUACUUAGUUAAUCAGGUUCAUACUAUCCUAAAAAGAAAAUAAAAAUGUGAAAAACAGUAAGCCCCAUGUGAGUAUACGAGUGGCAUAAAACCCAUAAGUACAUUCACUGUGGUAGCAUAAAAAUAAAAUAAAUAUUUCUUUUCUGCUUUAUAAAAUGAAAAUAUAAAAAAAAACAGGGAGUAAUAUUUAUUAAGGAGUUUCAACAUGAUAAAGGCUAGAUAUUUAUGCUAACACUUAAUCAGUUCCACAAGCUUUGUUGUCUAUUUGAGCUCCACAGAAUUUAAGAAUCAAGAAAACUAGCAGACGGAGGACAUUCUAAUCGCUGUUAGAAUGCUCCUGACUUUCAAAUACACCUCUGCCACCUGCUAGCUACAUCAAGAGAAAUUACAUCAAAAUUCAGCUUGAGGGAGAGCACCCCCAUUUAUCCCGAUAAGUAUUUCUAUCUAUCUUUAUACUUAUAUUAUAUUAGAAUAUAAAAUACAUAACCAUGAAAAACCAAAUAAAGAUUUUAUGCUUAUAUAUAUAUAUCUUUUGCUUAGUGUGUUUAAUAAAUAAAUAAGUGGCUAUGCUAAUCUGUAUCUAAAUAAUACUCUAGCAUGGAUAUGAUGAAUAGUUGCUCUGCCUAAUUUUAAAAUUUAAAGUUCUCUCCCAAGUUUAGACAUAACUGUUAUAAUUUAAAGCUUGCUCUAGACCUAAACUUGUGGGAUGAAAACUUGAUCUGAAGUCUAAGUUGUUAACGGAUAUGAUAUGGGAAGGUUGAGCUGCUGUUUAUCUGUUCCUAGAGAUGCUAGAAUUCUGGAGAAUUUUAUCUUUCAAAAUCUUUAAAAUCUACCACAGCCAUAUAUACAUGCUUGCUAGACUUUGAGCCACACAUUUACUAUUUACUGCUUAUGAGCAUUGAGUGUGGUCAAGCUGUGUAGACCCUUAGGAGCUGGUCAUGUGGUUAAAUGAAGAUUUCACUUGCACGUUCACUCAUACAUGCUACUUCUACUCCGGAAGUACCAUCCACAUAUAUCCACUCAUUUCCAUCUCCAGAACCACCCAAAAAUAUUCUACUCUUAAUCCGGGAGAGAAUAACCAAAAAUAUUUCUGUUUUUCCCCUGAGAAAUAAAUGCUCAAGUUAUCUUGUUACUACCACUUGCUAUAUUAUCUCAAGAGAUGAGUGCUCUAAAAAAAAGAAGAUACGAGGAAAUAAAAAGGAGCAAGUGCUCGGAACCUCGAAAGAAAAGAAAAAGUGAGACGAGAGGUAAAAAUGGACAAGUGUCCAACAGUAGAAUUAGAGGUACAAGAUACCCACCUAAGAUAAAAAGAAAAAAAAGAAGAGCAUCUCAUUCUCCUCAUAAAUUCAAAAAUCAAGGAAGGUAUGUAUCCCCUCAAAAGAGCAAAAGUAGAAUUAGACUUCCACCAUUGUUAUCACCAUCAUCACCAUACACCAUUCAUUCGCCACACAUGCACAUCUUGAUUAAACUUAUUGACUUGUUUCUUUGGAUCCAUGGUUUGGCUAUACAAUAGAUGCCUUGUAAGUAUGUAUACUUUAUCUCCCACCUAUGAGCUCCAGAUAUUAAAGCCUUAUUAGAGUAGGGUGAGAGAGAAGGCAAUGUCACUAUGCCCUAUACCACAUAUACUAUAUAAUUUUGAGAGAAGGCAUAUACCAUCACUGCCUUGGUAAGGAUCCAGAAAUACCACAAAAGAGAGAUAUGAGAGAGUCAUACAAGGAAUCUCUGAGUUUUAUUUAAAAAUCUGUAAAAACUCUAGAGCUAUAGCUGAUCAAGAAUAAGAGACAUGGCACUUGAUUAGACUGUUCUAUCUUUUAACUACUCAAGACAGAAGUGACGGUUACAAGUCCCAUGGUAAAGGUAAAGUAAGUAAGUUUUAAGAAUUGACAGUUUACUCUAACUCAGAGAUAAGAUUUUAUUUAAAAAGCAUGUGUACCGUUAAUUUUUAAGAUAUUGCAACAACUUAUGAUCCAUUGCUGAGUCUAUCCUUGCUCAGGGACGAGCAAGGGGUAAGCUCGGGGGAGUUUGAUGACGGUCCUUAAGUAUCAAAUUUAAUUAUCAAAUAAACAAAGAAAAGGAUCCAAAUGAAAUCAACAUCUAGACUUAGGGUUUUAUCUGACAGAAUUCCACGAGUUUUGGUGUUUGUCUAUUUCUGCAGGGGGUUAUCAGGAAAUACGGAAGAAAGGACCACACGUCGGGAUUACAUAGAGAUAUUGACAAGCCGCACAAUUAUCUUACAUCUAGAAGACUCUAGAAGCAACGAGACCGAAGCGGAGGCGAAACGGGGCCAGAGGCAGGGCGCCCGCCCUGUUCCCCUGGGCGCCCGCCCCCUCUGAGAGUCCAAUCAGGACUCUGUUUCUCGGGAGAUCUCCACCGAACUAAAGGAUCAAGGAUAACCAUUCAAUCUAUGUCGGUUUGAUCCAACGGCCCAUAUUCACUUGAAGGGACUAUAAAACCAAACCCCCUGGCCCCUGGAGGAGAGAGCCUCUCAACCCUAAUACAUUAUUCCUCAAGGGAGAAGAAGCCUCUGAUCAAGAUUAGAGCCACCACAUCAAUU
Molecule: long non-coding RNA, 20387 nt
Filed under: Sorghum bicolor (sorghum)
Lineage: Eukaryota; Viridiplantae; Streptophyta; Magnoliopsida; Poales; Poaceae
Description: long non-coding RNA (SBIC_LNC016295)
Source: RNAcentral